This 207-nucleotide ribosomal RNA is filed under the name uncultured bacterium. RNAcentral describes it as "partial 16S ribosomal RNA". It matches the Rfam family "Bacterial small subunit ribosomal RNA", at positions 568 to 774 of the family's 1533-position model. The record is from RNAcentral.
CGCGCAGGCGGCCCGGCCAGUCCCUUGUGAAAUCCCACGGCUCAACUGUGGAACUGCAGGGGAUACUGCCGGGCUUGAGUCCGGGAGAGGGGAGUGGAAUUCCCAGUGUAGCGGUGAAAUGCGUAGAUAUUGGGAGGAACACCGGUGGCGAAGGCGGCUCCCUGGACCGGUACUGACGCUGAGGCGCGAAAGCUAGGGGAGCAAACG